Long non-coding RNA from Haliotis rubra (blacklip abalone), 467 nucleotides. RefSeq lists it as uncharacterized. Lineage: Eukaryota; Metazoa; Mollusca; Gastropoda; Lepetellida; Haliotidae. The transcript is spliced from 3 exons. The record is from RefSeq and is a predicted model, not a curated record.
CUUCUACACUCUCCUGCAUCCCUCACUCGGCCAGCACGCGGUUCCUGAAAGUACCAUUCCUCUCUAAGAAUCACUCGCAGAGGUUUCGCCUUGAAGAUACCACGGGCCUUUUCAUUCGUCUUCACUUAGAUUGUACAGGAUGUUCCGGUCCAGCAGACAUGCGCAGUCCACGAGGUUCACGCUGCUUGUUAUAUCAGCCCUGCUGCUUGUCGUCACAGUCACGUGUCGCCCGCAGAAUUUGAAUAAAGGAAAACGGUGUUUAAACAACAUAAACGAAUGUAACCCCUGGAAAGAUGAGUGCUGCGAUGAUCUCACCUGCAUCAAUCUGAGGAAGGGAUACUGCGCCUAUCCUUUCGAGAGAUGCUUCUGCAUGAACAAGAUCUCCUUCCACGUGGACCAGAGAUCCGUAUAACCAACCCGACUUACAGCGGGUGGAAGACUGGAGAGAUCAUGUGAAAGGAAUUUAA